RNAcentral lists this ribosomal RNA (468 nucleotides) under uncultured bacterium. Its description in RNAcentral is "partial 16S ribosomal RNA". It matches the Rfam family "Bacterial small subunit ribosomal RNA", at positions 28 to 507 of the family's 1533-position model. The record is from RNAcentral.
GACGAACGCUCGCGGCGUGCUUAACACAUGCAAGUCGAACGGAAAGGCCCUGCUUUUGUGGGGUGCUCGAGUGGCGAACGGGUGAGUAACACGUGAGUAACCUGCCCUUGACUUUGGGAUAACUUCAGGAAACUGGGGCUAAUACCGGAUAGGAGCUCCUGCUGCAUGGUGGGGGCUGGAAAGUUUCGGCGGUUGGGGAUGGACUCGCGGCUUAUCAGCUUGUUGGUGGGGUAGUGGCUUACCAAGGCUUUGACGGGUAGCCGGCCUGAGAGGGUGACCGGCCACAUUGGGACUGAGAUACGGCCCAGACUCCUACGGGAGGCAGCAGUGGGGAAUAUUGCACAAUGGGCGGAAGCCUGAUGCAGCAACGCCGCGUGCGGGAUGACGGCCUUCGGGUUGUAAACCGCUUUCGCCUGUGACGAAGCGUGAGUGACGGUAAUGGGUAAAGAAGCACCGGCUAACUACGUG